AGUGGAAGUGAAGGAUAGAUAAGCGGACAGACGGAAGCGUGGAAAUGUAUUUUGCAGUUCUUUCUUUCGUUUUUGUUUUGUUUUAGGGCUUUUUUUUUUGUCC
This 103-nucleotide non-coding RNA is filed under the name Chromera velia. The record is from RNAcentral. Lineage: Eukaryota; Chromeraceae.